AGUGAACGCUGGCGGUAGGCCUAACACAUGCAAGUCGAACGGCAGCACAGUAAGAGCUUGCUCUUACGGGUGGCGAGUGGCGGACGGGUGAGGGAGACAUCGGAAUCUACUUUUUCGUGGGGGAUAACGUAGGGAAACUUACGCUAAUACCGCAUACGACCUACGGGUGAAUGCAGGGGAUCUUCGGACCUUGCGCGAUUGAAUGAGCCGAUGUCGGAUUAGCUAGUUGGUGGGGUAACGGCCCACCAAGGCGACGAUCCGUAGCUGGUCUGAGAGGAUGAUCGGCCACACUGGAACUGAGACACGGUCCAGACUCCUACGGGAGGCAGCAGUGGGGAAUAUUGGACAAUGGGCGCAAGCCUGAUCCAGCCAUACCGCGUGGGUGAAGAAGGCCUUCGGGUUGUAAAGCCCUUUUGUUGGGAAAGAAAAGCAGCAGGUUAAUACCCCGCUGUUCUGACGGUACCCAAAGAAUAAGCACCGGCUAACUUCGUG
Molecule: ribosomal RNA, 492 nt
Filed under: uncultured bacterium
Lineage: Bacteria
Description: partial 16S ribosomal RNA
Rfam family: Bacterial small subunit ribosomal RNA
Source: RNAcentral